This 245-nucleotide ribosomal RNA is filed under the name uncultured bacterium. RNAcentral's name for it is "partial 16S ribosomal RNA". It matches the Rfam family "Bacterial small subunit ribosomal RNA", at positions 524 to 768 of the family's 1533-position model. The record is from RNAcentral.
UACGGAGGGUGCAAGCGUUGUUCGGAUUUAUUGGGCGUAAAGCGCGUGUAGGCGGUCGGGCAAGUCAGAUGUGAAAGCCCUUGGCUUAACCAAGGAAGGGCAUUUGAAACUGCCCGGCUUGAGUACGGGAGGGGGAAGCGGAAUUCCCGGUGUAGAGGUGAAAUUCGUAGAUAUCGGGAGGAACACCGGUGGCGAAGGCGGCUUCCUGGACCGAUACUGACGCUGAGACGCGAAAGCGUGGGGAG